This 72-nucleotide transfer RNA is filed under the name Lasiosphaeris hirsuta. It matches the Rfam family "tRNA". Rfam says of the family: Transfer RNA (tRNA) molecules are approximately 80 nucleotides in length. Their secondary structure includes four short double-helical elements and three loops (D, anti-codon, and T loops). Lineage: Eukaryota; Fungi; Ascomycota; Sordariomycetes; Sordariales; Lasiosphaeriaceae. The record is from Rfam by way of RNAcentral. RNAcentral also lists the same sequence under 1 other name.
AGCUGCGUGGCGCAGUGGAAGCGCGCCGGGCUCAUAACCCGGAGGUCGUUGGAUCGAAACCAACCGCAGCUA